Tachysurus vachellii is the source of this 3614-nucleotide long non-coding RNA. RefSeq lists it as uncharacterized. The transcript has 4 exons. NCBI's taxonomy places the organism in Eukaryota, Metazoa, Chordata, Actinopteri, Siluriformes, Bagridae. The record is from RefSeq and is a predicted model, not a curated record.
AAGCAGAAGCUUUCUUUCUGGUCACAGCUGGCUGGAAUGUUUUAGAAAGUCUGAACAAAGAGGGCAGAAAGACAAGGUAGAACCUUUAAUACAAGCACAAGGCUCCCUGUCAUUAGUGAUGCUGAGGUGUCCAGUGCGGAUCGAUCCCUCAGGCCGCUCACGCUCUGUGAUCAUGUGGUGGAACUUCAAAGCUAUGAGGUGCUUGACCAAAAAGAGAUCAAAGCUGAAGCUGUGGCCUGGGGGACGAACCGAUGACACCCGCUUUGUGAUCUUCGGCUGGCGUCGUCUAUCGGGAAACCUGACAAAUUCAAGAAAAUUAAUGGGAUUGUCCUGUAGGUCCAGAGGCUACUCACGGUGGUCAGAUGAAACCGUAUAAUAGCAACUUUAGUCCUGUGAGUGCGGGUUAGAAAUUAACCUUCACUAGUCAUGUUGUUUACAUUCUGGACAAAAUGGUGUUUAUAGUGCUGUGACUUUUUACAGUCUUCAGUGCAACAUGUACUGUAUGUAAUAAAAAAGUUCAAAAUGGCCUGAAGGUCAAACAAUUCCCAACUUUCUAGCUGAUCCGUAGCUGGUUAAUGAAAGUAACAUCAUUUGCUUCAUGCAGCAUGGUCACAUAUUUGUUCCUGUACAUUACUGAAGUCGUGGAACAAGACACGAAGUUUAAAGCAGGUUUAGGGGCAAGAAUCAGCAUAUUUUAACUUUUCUUUGUUCAGAAUUCAUAUGACUAAUGUUUGCUCAAGUUUUACUGACUUCUCAGAUCUUCUCAAGAUCAGGUUGGUUUUCACUGAAGACUGGGUAUGAACUGUUGUGAGACUUGCUUGCUUCAGUGUGAUGCCUUGUGAUCAUCUGAGCACCUGUACAGCUAGCCUACCAUGACACAGCAGGAAAUAAACCUGUGUAGAAAAGAGGGAGUGUGGCUGGCUCAGUGCCUGCUGAUUAAUAAUGGAUCAAUAUUGGCUUUUAUUAUAAAUAAUGGCACUAACUGGUACCAGCGUCAGGGAGUGUCAGCAAAUAUUGGCCUUUUACCCACUGCGCAAUACUGCUUUACCAUUCCUGAACCAUGAAUAAGCUAAUUAUAGCCCUUAACUCAGGUUUUCCUUCUUAAAUGUAUUGGAUCGUCCAUUUUCCAACAGAUUUUAGUCUGAAUUUCCACCCAGUUCAUUGCAAAGGUGCACUGGAUAGUGUAAAUUGUUAUUAUUAAUCUACUGGCUAUAAUAACUUGCUUGAUAGCAUUAAAAUGAUAGAAAUGGAAAUUUCCCUGCCUUAAUGACUAGUUUUUAUAAUGGGGAUCCCAAGCUACGAUACGGUCAGGGUCGUGAAUAGAACAUGCAAUCGUCAGUUUUUACAAACGAAUAUUAAGAGAAGGCUUGAUCUCUGGCAGUGGAAAUGAUCUUUUUUUUUCACCUAAGCAACAAAACUCUGUCAGGAUUGCGCAACAAAGCAGAAGCAUUUCCCAAAAGGAAAUUUACCCUGAUUGACAAACCAAUUUUGUGAGCGUGAGCCUCUAAAGUUAACAGGUUUCUCCAGCAGGUUUUUUUCCUGUUUCGACUCUUCUAUAGAGAUGUUUUCUGACACUCCUGCAGUGCCAUUGUUGUUCAGUUACCGGUAAGUUUCCUGACACCAAAUGAUAGUAAUAUGAUCAAAAAGGAAGCAGUGAGUCCAUGUAAAAUUGAGGAUAAUAGCAAAAAUGUAGCGGUGUAGCGGUUCACCAUCAUUUAUCCGGUCAGCUUCCUGUGUGUGGAAACAGGAAGCUCAGUUGACCCCGAAUAUUGCUGGACACACCUUCAGGGCCUACACACCUCUUAUCUGUUUCAACAAGUAUUCAUUAGUCACUCAGUUUUAUUUGGCUCAUUUGAACUUUUACAGAAUGCCAGCGAUUCAAUAUAAAAGGUUUGCAUUGUAGUGAGAGCGAGCAGGCGGGCGUGUUGAUCAAAAGCUGCAGUUUUAGAGAAAUUGUUUGGUUUGCUGUACAGGUUUAAAGGCGUGCUUAUCAUUAAAAUAUUGGGCCUAUGAGUAUAGGUGUGAACUGAACUUGAGUAAACGUCAAACAGUGAGAUUAAGUAGAAGCAAGCAGCGGUGAUAAGAUUGAAGAUCAGCGUGACGUGAACACCUUUGCUAUUUUACGCUGCUCAGGGUACGUUAUAGACCUGCCGUUUAUUAAUUAACAUUAAUGCCCCUUGAAUGCCAGGAGCACCUCUGGAUAAGAGUUAUGAUUAGGAUUUCAACAAUGAAACAUGCAACAGUCUGAAUCUCUUGAAAAAAAUGUAAAAAAAAAAGUCUCCCUGUGACACUCAGAAUCUCUCCAGAUGACUGCAGAGCACUUCCAUGCUGCCACAGUUUUACACGCUAUACCCUUCCCUUAUAAAUAAGACUCUUUUUUUAAGUGAGCAGACCCCAGGAUGGAGGUGCCUGAUUAUAAAUAGCCUUUUUUGUGGUAUCUAUUUAAAGAGAUCCUCCUGAUGUGGCUUGCUAUUUUCCUAUUUUCUCUUCACCCUUGAAUUUUUCCUGACCAGAGAAAUAUCUGUUACCCCUCGACGCUCCUCGACCGACCUCUCAAACGUAAUUACCCCCGUUCCGUGCAAAUCAUCUAUAGAUUACUAGUUUCUUUGUGUGCUAUCAUAACAGCACCGAAUGAAUGAGAGAAGGAGGGGUGUCAUGAGCAAUGCCCCUACUCUUGCCAAAACCCCAUCAAAUGAGAGGCCUGUGGCUGCUGGGGAUAUUUUUUGCCGGGCUUCGGGGGCUUGUGGCACACAAGCGGCACAUGGCUGUGAUGGAGAGUGGUCGCUAGUGAAACGCAGAGCUCCAAUUAUGGCAGUAGUACACAUGUCGCUCAGGCGGUUAUAACUCUGCUGUCUUGUGGUGGAGGAAUUCAUGGGGAGGGUUUAUAAAGGAAAUAGAUGGAGCGAGGGGUUGAAGUGAGACAGACAACCCAAGAGACAUCAGUGAGAGGGAAUACGUUAGUUAUAGGUUGUAUUUUUAUAGGACGUGGUCUGUUUGUUUUACAGCCUUUAACCAGCAGUCAAGCGUCACAUAUACAAUCACACAAAAAACGAUGGUCAGACGCAACAUCUUUAAGCCAGAACAAGGUCUAAUCUAGUCGCCGUUAAGAGCCCACAAUGUCUCCGGUGUCAUGGUAUGCAGUCAUGAAUGUCAUGCAAAAACAAUGCUGAGUGGAAAACACCUUCAAAGCUCCUUUCACACCAAAAUGGGCCUUUUAUUCGUUUAACAGUUUAACAUGGUGUGUUAUGAUCUGACCUAAUAUUUACACCAAAGACAGGUGUACACUUGCUUUAACAGUAGAAUGUCAAAGACAAAUCGGACAAAUCGCUAUCACAUGACCAGUGUUGUAAUGUAACGGAGUAUAAAUACUUCGUUACUGUACUUAAGUAGAAAUGUCACGUAUCUGUACUUUACUUCGCUAUUUAAAUUUACGUCAACUUUCACUUUUACUCCACUACAUUUCCUAGAUAAAAUGUAUACUUUUACUCCGCUAUAUUUCCACUAAGCAUCUUCGUUACUCGUUAUUACAAAAUAAAAUCAGAAGAAAUGUGUGCGACUGCAAUAAGGGAGGUUUAGUGAAUCACUGCUCCUAGAUUGUAUUACGCGCUCUAUGG